Transfer RNA from Fusarium verticillioides 7600, 90 nucleotides. It matches the Rfam family "tRNA". Rfam says of the family: Transfer RNA (tRNA) molecules are approximately 80 nucleotides in length. Their secondary structure includes four short double-helical elements and three loops (D, anti-codon, and T loops). The record is from Rfam. NCBI's taxonomy places the organism in Eukaryota, Fungi, Ascomycota, Sordariomycetes, Hypocreales, Nectriaceae.
GGCCGCGUGGCCUAAUGGCUAAGGCGCUAGAUUUCGGUCUCCCUCUUCUGAACUCUCUAGAGAUUCCAGGUUCGACUCCUGGCGUGGUCG